AUCCCCCUCCAGAGCCUGUGGGCGCAGGUCCCCCACGGAGCUGUACAUCCGGUAGUUGCCAUUGAUCCGGGAGCCAGAGCCUGGAAAAAGGAGCGAGAGCACAGCAGUGUGAGCACCUUCUCCACCAGCACUGCCAUGGCCAGUGGUCCUCCCAGAGAGCCAGCCUCUUGCUCAGCUUGUUUAAGGUCACUAUGCCUCACCCCUUGGAAAUUAAUUCAUUUCCAAUGGCUUCAAAAAAUAAUUAAUAGCAGGCUCUAUUUUGGCACGGAACUCUCAGGAGCAGACUGUCUGCUCCAGAGCUCCAGCCACACACACUUCCUGCCCCGAGGGCACAGCCCUGCUGAGCACUUUGUGCUGGCCAGGACUCAGCAGAUAAGAUUCCUUACCAAGAGCUGCUUUUUCCUCAAAGUCUUCUGGUACUGAGGGUGUUGGCACAGCCACCCCAUGGGAUUCUUGGGCAUUCUGUAAGAGUUAAAAAAACAGAGCUGUUAGUUUUAUGCUCAGGGUAUCAGAGAGAAGCAGCUGGUUAUUUGUCCACACAAACAGGGGCCUGAUGGAUCUUCCCAAGACACGGAGGUCUCUGUGGAAGCUGCUGUUGACAGGUGAGUCAAGUGAUGAGGGCUGCACGAGCCAUGGCCACAGUUCCCUGUGGUCAGGUGCAGAGGGGCUGGACAGGAGCACAGCUAUUUACAUCCCACCUCAGAGCUCCCCAGCCCGCCAGCAGCAGCAUUGGCUUCUCACCAUCCGUGUACCAAGCACAUUGAACAGCUGCCAUGGGUUCUGUGGGCCUUGCUCUCCAGCAAGCACUGCCAGCUCACACCACAGUCACACACACACCACGCUGGAGUCACAGACACACCUCCAGCUCUCUGGGAGACCGGCACCAGCAUAUCUGAACACUCCGGGGAAAACUGCUACUUGUGUGGUUUGUGUUCCACUCUCAAUUACUCCCUUCACAUUCAUGCUGAAAACUCAGCAGUGCCUUUAGCUGGCACAGGACCAUGCAAUUCAACAGCCCACACAUCCGUGGGGAUGCCUCCAGUGAGGGCACUUUGGGUAAUUACAGCCACCCAGAGAGAGAGAUCCAGGGCAGGCUGACUCACCCCAGAGCUGAUCAGGGCUCCACCUCACACACCUGCCAGGAGCAGAAAGCCUCUCCUUCCCCCAGUGACUCACUGCUGGGAUUGCUCUGAGGGGCCUGCAGUGGCUCAGGAACGUCCAUUAAUGCUCCCAUGUGCAAACCCAAACUGGUGCUGGGUCAGGCACAGACACAAGUGAGGCAGUGGCUGGACUGUCACACACCAGCACUGGGAGAGACCAAGUCCUGGGACAAUUUUGGGUGCUACAAAGAUAUAAAAUUAUUACAGUGUCCAAAGCAGGGACACAAAAAUGGUGCAGGGUCUGGAGGGGCCCUACAAGGAGCAGCUCAGGGCACUUGGUCUGUUCAGUUGGAGAAGAAGAGACUGAGGGGAGACUCAUUGGAGGCUGCAGCUCCUCACAAGGGGCAGCUCCAAUCCCUGCUCUUUGUAAGCAGUGACAAGACCCAAGGGAAUGGCUGGAUCUGUGUCAGGGCAGGGUCAGGUUGGAUAUCAGGGAAAGGUUCUUCCUCCAGAGGGUGGUCGGGCACUGAACAGGCUCCCCAGGGCAAAGGGCAUCGCCCCAAACUUGCCAGAGCUCAAGGAGUGUUUGGACAACGCUCUCAGGCACAGGGUGGGAUUCUGGGGUGUCCUGUGCAGGGCCAGGAGCUGGACUGGAUGAUCCCUGUGGGUCCCUUCCAGCUCAGGAUAUUCUCUGAUUCCAUGCAAUGACACUCUGGGAGCAGCAAACUCACAGGCAGUGGUCAGGGACAUCCCAUCCCAUUCCCAGGCUCCAGGUCCACCCUGUUGCACUCCUGCUCCCCCCAGGCAGCUGUUUGCACUGUUAACAGCCCUUUACAAAGGAAACAUUAUCCUGCCAUCAGCCUGCCCCUCUCCCGGAGUGGUUUCCUGCACACAAAAGCCCGGAUAAUGAUUGAGCCCCUGCCCUUUGCCUUUCACUGCCACUAUCACCAUUUUUACAUCAGGCUGCCACGGGAUUCCAAAGUCUCCUUGAGCAAAGGUCAAGUUGGGUUUAUUCAUCCAGCCCCUUCCAGGCUCAGACAGCACGUUAAGGUUUCACACAGCCCUGGUGUGGAGAGCUCAGGAGGUGCCUGAUGGGCAGAGCUGAUUUAACAGCAGCAGCCUGGGCUCCUGCAGAAGAGCCCUGGAAUGCUCCAGCUUUGGACAAAACAAUAAGAAAAUACACAUAUUUCACUUGCUAGGUCCAUCACCCUGCAGAUGACCAAGGAUCCUCUAUAACCACAUGGGAAUGAGCCAGUUACUGGUGAGCCAGGAGUGAAUGAGUGGGAAUUCACAUUCCUGGGAUUGCAGGAUGGAUCAGACAACAUUUUGCUGAUGGAGAAGCCAAGGUCUGCUAAGGCAUCAGGACAGAUCUGUUAGUGGCAAAACACCAGGCUAGAUACAGGGCAAGGUAGAAGAAAGAUCCUUAACUUCAACUGAAAGCCAGAGGGAAGGCCAAGGCCAACAGAGGUAUUUUAUGAGCCAAUAAUGACACUGUCCUGAGUAAUGAGAUAUCAGAAACUACAAAGAAAAAAAACCCCAGCAGCUCCCAUUUGCUAUGGAAAUCCACUGCUGCCAGAGCACACCGAGGAUACCUGCUCAUUUACAGGGCAACAAAGAUGUCUGGGCACUGAAUUCAAAGCAGAAUAUGCAUCACAUGUUUGGAGAGGAGUGGAAAGGGACUGACAGUCGGAAGAGAGCUAUGCAAAGCUGGAGGAAACAGUCUGCACUUCAGAAAUGAAGUGGUAAUUUUGGACAUGUCAUUUCAAACUGGGCAAGCCUGUUUCACACCAAAAACUUCUGUUAGCAGUUGCUAAUGCUCAGCAUCUCUCUGAAAAAAACCACCCAUCCCCACGUCAUGAGCUGGCUCCUGAAAUGGAAAGCAUCCCCAGUACCCUGCCAGAGCCUCCAGAGAUGGUUGGGAAGAUUGUUCCCUGCCUUUGCUCGGGGUGUGACCAGCCCUGCAAACCUCCAGCUGAUUCAGAGCAGGCUCAGGGUGCUGGGCCAGGAACCUGCAUUUCCAGUUCGUGGCACCAGGCUCAGAUUUGUGCAGGGGAAGCUUUCACUGGAACCACCAGGAAUCACUUUUCAUCCUUGGAACACAGCAAGAUGUCCCCAGUUAUGAGAAAUAAAAUAAGGGGGUUUUUAUAUGUGAA
Pseudopipra pipra is the source of this 3253-nucleotide long non-coding RNA. RefSeq lists it as uncharacterized. NCBI's taxonomy places the organism in Eukaryota, Metazoa, Chordata, Aves, Passeriformes, Pipridae. The record is from RefSeq and is a predicted model, not a curated record. The transcript has 2 exons.